UGCGUAGGCGGAAUAUUAAGUCAGUGGUGAAAUCCUGCAGCUUAACUGUAGAACCGCCAUUGAUACUGGUAUUCUUGAAUUUAGUUGAGGUGGGCGGAACGUGUAAUGUAGCGGUGAAAUGCUUAGAUAUUACACAGAACACCGAUUGCGAAGGCAGCUCACUAAACUAACAUUGACGCUGAGGCACGAAAGCGUGGGUAGCGAACAGGAUUAGAUACCCUGGUAGUCC
This 229-nucleotide ribosomal RNA is filed under the name uncultured bacterium. RNAcentral's name for it is "partial 16S ribosomal RNA". It matches the Rfam family "Bacterial small subunit ribosomal RNA", at positions 568 to 796 of the family's 1533-position model. The record is from RNAcentral.